GGAAGAUGAUGAAUGCAAUUUGGUCCGUGUUUAUGAUUCACCCUGAUUUUCAGAAAUUGCACUAUUUUUCUGAUUCC
Molecule: small nucleolar RNA, 77 nt
Organism: Cryptomeria japonica (Japanese cedar)
Lineage: Eukaryota; Viridiplantae; Streptophyta; Pinopsida; Cupressales; Cupressaceae
Product: small nucleolar RNA SNORD18
Exons: 1
Source: RefSeq, a predicted model, not a curated record